RNAcentral lists this transfer RNA (93 nucleotides) under Escherichia coli. RNAcentral describes it as "tRNA-Ser". It matches the Rfam family "tRNA". Rfam says of the family: Transfer RNA (tRNA) molecules are approximately 80 nucleotides in length. Their secondary structure includes four short double-helical elements and three loops (D, anti-codon, and T loops). RNAcentral also lists the same sequence under 1 other name. The record is from RNAcentral. Lineage: Bacteria; Pseudomonadati; Pseudomonadota; Gammaproteobacteria; Enterobacterales; Enterobacteriaceae.
GGUGAGGUGGCCGAGAGGCUGAAGGCACUCCCCUGCUAAGGGAGUAUGCGGUCAAAAGCUGCAUCCGGGGUUCGAAUCCCCGCCUCACCGCCA